UACGAAGGGGGCUAGCGUUGUUCGGAUUUACUGGGCGUAAAGCGCACGUAGGCGGAUCGAUCAGUCAGGGGUGAAAUCCCAGAGCUCAACUCUGGAACUGCCUUUGAUACUGUCGAUCUGGAGUAUGGAAGAGGUGAGUGGAAUUCCGAGUGUAGAGGUGAAAUUCGUAGAUAUUCGGAGGAACACCAGUUGCGAAGGCGGCUCGCUGGUCCAUUACUGACGCUGAGGUGCGAAAGCGUGGGGAGCAAACAGG
RNAcentral lists this ribosomal RNA (253 nucleotides) under uncultured bacterium. RNAcentral describes it as "partial 16S ribosomal RNA". It matches the Rfam family "Bacterial small subunit ribosomal RNA", at positions 524 to 776 of the family's 1533-position model. The record is from RNAcentral.